GACGAACGCUGGCGGCGUGCUUAACACAUGCAAGUCGAACGGUAAGGCCCUUCGGGGUACACGAGUGGCGAACGGGUGAGUAACACGUGGGUGAUCUGCCCUGCACUUUGGGAUAAGCCUGGGAAACUGGGUCUAAUACCGAAUAUGACCAUGGACUUCACGGUUUGUGGUGGAAAGCUUUUGCGGUGUGGGAUGGGCCCGCGGCCUAUCAGCUUGUUGGUGGGGUAAUGGCCUACCAAGGCGACGACGGGUAGCCGGCCUGAGAGGGUGACCGGCCACACUGGGACUGAGAUACGGCCCAGACUCCUACGGGAGGCAGCAGUGGGAAUAUUGCACAAUGGGCGCAAGCCUGAUGCAGCGACGCCGCGUGGGGGA
Molecule: ribosomal RNA, 375 nt
Filed under: uncultured bacterium
Lineage: Bacteria
Description: bacterial SSU rRNA
Rfam family: Bacterial small subunit ribosomal RNA
Source: RNAcentral